GGGGACUUUGACAAUCUACCAUCAGGAAUGGACUUAGGAAUUAUCGCAGGAUGCCAUUCGAGCGAAUAUUAACGAAGAUUUAAAAACUUUAUUGCAAUCGUGCGCGUAGCAAUGAAGUAAUCGAGUGUUGUUACCGCUAAAAUAAAAAUUUCGCGAAGUAGAAGCAGUGUUUGUUCGUUCGCGUUUCGCGUUUUAAACGAUAAGUGUUUUUGCAUAGACUGCGUGCAAUGCAGUUUUUAGAGUCAGUGUUUGUUCUCGUAGUUUUUUUUAUUUUUUAACAGUCGCACAGACUGUAUCUAUAACAUAUAGUAGAGUUUCGCGAAAUAAAUUCAGUGACCGUUCGUUAAUAAAUAACUACCGCGAAUUAGAGUCAGUGCAUCACCGAAGAGGAUCUCAACCAUCUUCGAUGUCGACCUGCCUCAUUUUCAACCAACUGCAAUUCGCCCACCCUUGAUUCCGUCCUAAAUCUCGGUGCAGUGUUUUGGAGCCAUCGCAGAACUUCUCAAGUAAAACUCGGACGACGUAGCACUCCAUCUUUCAUCACAUGUUGGUACUCGUACGCGAAGAGAAUUAUUACCUAUGUUAUUCAUUUUUCUAUUCAGGUCGAGAUGUAAAUUUUUAUUUUCUUUAUAUUUUCUCUUUUAAUGUCCUCUUUCUAAUGUGCACUGAAUAAAAGUGCAUAUGGAAUUGAUAAAAACGCACCGAAAUGUGUAGGAAGUUCUUUCAUUCCCGCGGUACGGGAAGUGAAUAUUCGUUUAGAUUAGGAUCGGAAGAUUUUCAUUUUGGUUUUCUCUUUUAAUUUAAAUUAAGUUAAGUUCAGAAUUUUAUUCCCUAAAUUAAUUGUUCCGAUUUAAUUGCAGAAGUUGUUUCUUUCGGGUGGGACCCAUGGGAGGGGCCCUCGGGUGUGGGCCUUUGUGCGGGCUACUUUCUCAGUAUCUUGCAAAGAAGCUCUUUCCUCUUUAUAUUUUCUUCUCCUUUUCUUUUUCUUAUAAUCUUUUUCUGUUUCAGGUGAGAUCAUCAAGGGAUGGAUCAUCGAGGGAUGGAUCAUCGAGGGAUGGAUCAUCGAGGGAACGGUCAAGUGAUUUUUAUUUCUUUCAUUAUAGUACAUUUAUAUUUAUUCUGCACAUUUCUACUUAUUAUAAGCAUUUCUUUUAUGUAUAAGCAAGGUUAUAUUUAUUAUAGGCAUAUU
This is a long non-coding RNA of Vespula vulgaris, 1189 nucleotides long. RefSeq lists it as uncharacterized. The record is from RefSeq and is a predicted model, not a curated record. NCBI's taxonomy places the organism in Eukaryota, Metazoa, Arthropoda, Insecta, Hymenoptera, Vespidae. The transcript has 3 exons.